RNAcentral lists this long non-coding RNA (1564 nucleotides) under Triticum aestivum (bread wheat). RNAcentral describes it as "long non-coding RNA (TAES_LNC001745)". Lineage: Eukaryota; Viridiplantae; Streptophyta; Magnoliopsida; Poales; Poaceae. The record is from RNAcentral.
CUCCCCCACCCCAUCCCGACUACCUUCUUCCUCACCCACGACCCACUCCCCCGACGCCGCCAACUACUACGAAGCUCCGACCACCACGACGCCCCGACCACACUAUCCUCCCAGGCGACGCGGCUCCAAUCCACGCCACCUUCUCCUCCGACAGCGCUCCGGUGAAGGAUCCAGGCGGGCCUGGUCAAAUCGUGCCGCCAUGCCCCCCGCAGGCGCCGGAUCUCGGGCACCCGCAUCGCCCCUCCCGCGCGCCUGCACCUCAUGACGAGGUAGGCCACCCCGACCUCGCCAUGGGCGGCAAAGCGCCCCUGAUGCCCACCUUUCUCUUCCCUCUGGUACCUCGCCCCGCUCCACCUUCAUCGCGCCGCAGGAGCACCCCCGCUCCAACUUCCUCCUCCCUCCGCCGCCUAGGACCCACCCUGCACCGGCAGUCACUUCCUGCCCGACGCCCCAGCACCCCAUCCUCUCAUCCCCACCCCCACCGAGCCGCUACGAUCCACGCCGAAGAGACCGGAUGCACAUCGCCUGCCUCCGGAUCCAAAUAAGGUGCUCCCACCCACUACGCCAUCGCCUCCCCCAAUAGCGGCAGUCACCCCCGCAGCUCACUCCUCCCCUACCUGUAGUUCAUGGUAGUCACCCCCCGCCACUCACUCCUCCCCUACCCGCAGUUCGCCAAAUCCCGCACCAGCUGGCUGCCGCAGCCCCACGCCACUAGAUAAUGUAAAGGGGUGCUCCGCUGGGCUUCUGCCGGUGAGGUUGUGGUAGGAGGUCCAUCCACAUCUGACGACCCUCCGGCGACGGAUCCAGGCGUCCCGAGGGAUCUCGAAUGGCCGCCUCCUCUAAUGACCUCUCCAUCGCCACGACGGCGAGAUCCACGCAUGGGCGCACGACUCAGGAAAACGGCGACUGCAGUCGGGCGAUUCUCAGGGCCUCCACCGCAGCCCUUCCUCUAUCCCCUACCUCCAUCUCCCCCUCCUUUGUUACAGGGCAUCACUGGAAGGGCGGGCGGGAGGCCAACCUCCUUCAAUCAUGGAGCUGAAGGUGAACGGCGGCAACAACGCCCCAUGCAGUCCAGAAAUUGCGUCUUUUGCUGCUUCUUUUUUUUUUGCCUUCGGAUGCAGUUCGCCAUGGCCUCGCAUGCCGUCCGGUGUCACGGCCGUUUCAGUGCUUGCAUGCGCCAUGGCCAUGCACAGAUGCAGUAUAGAAAAUGUUUGUUUCUUUUUGCAGUGCAGAUUGUAUGGACGUGCAGGGCAGCACAUGUACGAAGGAGAAAAAAAAGAAUGUCGUCAUUUUUUCUGAAGUUUGUUUUAUUGUUCGAGAAAACACAAACAUAAAUGCUCCAUCGAUGUUCCUUUAAAAGAAGUUCAUUUUGUUGUUUGAGAAAAUGCAAAGAGGAAAAGAGAGUAAAAAAUGGAUGUGGAUGAAUGCUUGUGUGUAAUGUGUAGCGUGCAAACAAAAAAUGUAGUCCACUCGCGUCCCCCCGCAGUGCAUAUUUCAUUAACCCAAAAAAUGUAUGCAAUGCACUAGGGGGAACUAAACUCUAGAGAAAAAAUAAAGAGGAAAC